GCCUACGGGGGGCAGCAGUUUCGAAUCAUUCACAAUGGGCGAAAGCCUGAUGGUGCGACGCCGCGUGAGGGAUGAAGGCCUUCGGGUUGUAAACCUCUGUCACCGGGGAAGAAACGCUUCAAUUUAACAGAUUGAAGCCUGACUUAACCCGGAGAGGAAGCAGUGGCUAACUCUGUGCCAGCAGCCGCGGUAAUACAGAGACUGCAAGCGUUAUUCGAAUUCACUGGGCGUAAAGGGUGCGCAGGCGGCCGGGUGUGUCAGAUGUGAAAUCCCGAGGCUCAACCUCGGAACUGCGUCUGAAACUACUCGGCUAGAGUACUGGAGAGGGAAACGGAAUUCACGGUGUAGCAGUGAAAUGCGUAGAUAUCGUGAGGAACACCAGAGGCGAAGGCGGUUUCCUGGACAGUUACUGACGCUCAGGCACGAAAGCGUGGGGAGCAAAAGGGAUUAGAUACCCCUGUAU
This 463-nucleotide ribosomal RNA is filed under the name uncultured bacterium. Its description in RNAcentral is "bacterial SSU rRNA". It matches the Rfam family "Bacterial small subunit ribosomal RNA", at positions 337 to 793 of the family's 1533-position model. The record is from RNAcentral.